CCUGCCAGGGACUGUUUCUCCUCUGAGAUGCCCCUCUGCCAUACCGCCCUGCCUUGGAGCCAGCUGACUAGGGACUGAAAUCUCUACAAACUGUGAGCUAAAAUAAACCUUGUCUCUUUUAACUUCUAGGUUGUGCAUCAUGUCCCAGCAACAAAGAAGCCUCUAAUACAGCAGAUAUAAACUCCAGUGGAGAUAUACAGGGUGAUGACUGUUCCAGCAACACUUCUACUCAAACUGGACCCACACUGAGGAAUUCCUGCAGCUCUGAAUCCGGAAGGCGGAGGUGUCUGUGGGGAGCAGGGUCCCAGGACCACUGUGAGAAGCAGUCAAAGAACAUGGCUAUCGUCACCCCACAGUUCCGGGUGAGGAAACUGAGGCCCAGACUGGUCAAGUGGCACUUUCAACCUCACUCACAGAACUGGGUAACCAAAAAGGGUUCUGGAGUUUACUUCCCCCAACUCCUCACUUAGUACGCGCUUUAUGAAGUCCUGCUACCUCUCUGUGAGGGGCAGCAGAGAGGCUGUGGCAAGCUGGGCUUCUCCAGGAAGCUCCUAUUCAGCCGCCACUGCUCACCCAGA
This 578-nucleotide long non-coding RNA is filed under the name Chinchilla lanigera (long-tailed chinchilla). RNAcentral describes it as "lncRNA (ENSCLAG00000024807.1)". Lineage: Eukaryota; Metazoa; Chordata; Mammalia; Rodentia; Chinchillidae. The record is from RNAcentral.